AUUGAACGCUGGCGGCAGGCCUAACACAUGCAAGUCGAGCGGAUGACAGGAGCUUGCUCCUGAAUUCAGCGGCGGACGGGUGAGUAAUGCCUAGGAAUCUGCCUGGUAGUGGGGGACAACGUUUCGAAAGGAACGCUAAUACCGCAUACGUCCUACGGGAGAAAGCAGGGGACCUUCGGGCCUUGCGCUAUCAGAUGAGCCUAGGUCGGAUUAGCUAGUUGGUGAGGUAAUGGCUCACCAAGGCGACGAUCCGUAACUGGUCUGAGAGGAUGAUCAGUCACACUGGAACUGAGACACGGUCCAGACUCCUACGGGAGGCAGCAGUGGGGAAUAUUGGACAAUGGGCGAAAGCCUGAUCCAGCCAUGCCGCGUGUGUGAAGAAGGUCUUCGGAUUGUAAAGCACUUUAAGUUGGGAGGAAGGGCAUUAACCUAAUACGUUAGUGUUUUGACGUUACCGACAGAAUAAGCACCGGCUAACUCUGUGCCAGCAGCCGCGGUAAUGCAGAGGGUGCAAGCGUUAAUCGGAAUUACUGGGCGUAAAGCGCGCGUAGGUGGUUUGUUAAGUUGGAUGUGAAAUCCCCGGGCUCAACCUGGGAACUGCAUUCAAAACUGACAAGCUAGAGUAUGGUAGAGGGUGGUGGAAUUUCCUGUGUAGCGGUGAAAUGCGUAGAUAUAGGAAGGAACACCAGUGGCGAAGGCGACCACCUGGACUGAUACUGACACUGAGGUGCGAAAGCGUGGGGAGCAAACAGG
This 753-nucleotide ribosomal RNA is filed under the name uncultured bacterium. Its description in RNAcentral is "bacterial SSU rRNA". It matches the Rfam family "Bacterial small subunit ribosomal RNA", at positions 28 to 776 of the family's 1533-position model. The record is from RNAcentral.